CGGUUGAUCCUGCCAGAGGCUACUGCUAUCAGAGUUCGAUUAAGCCAUGUUAGUCGAGGGUGCUUUAUAUUCUUUGUGAAUAUAAGGUAGCCCGGCAGACGGCUCAGUAACACGUGGACAACUUACCCUUGGGACCGGGAUAACCCCUGGGAAACUGGGGCUAAUACCGGAUAGAGCAUCGAUUGCUGGAAUGCACGAUGUUCGAAAGCUGAGGCGCCCAAGGACAGGUCUGCGGCCGAUUAGGUUGUUGUUGAUGUGACGGAUCAACAAGCCUACGAUCGGUACGGGUUGUGAGAGCAAUAGCCCGGAGAUGGGUUCUGAGAGAAGAACCCAGGUCCUACGGGACGCAUCAGGCGCGAAAACUUUACAAUGUGCGAAAGCACGAUAAGGGAACUCUGAGUGCCUCCUAAGGAGGCUGUUCAGGUGUCUAAAAAGCACCUGAAGGAAGGGCUGGGUAAGACCGGUGCCAGCCGCCGCGGUAACACCGGCAGCCCAAGUGGUAGCCAUGCUUAUUGGGUCUAAAGCGUCCGUAGCCGGCUAAGUAAGUUCUUUGGGAAAUUUGACCGCUUAACGGUCAAGCUAUCAGGGAAUACUGCUUGGCUUGGGACCGGGAGAGGUCAGAGGUACUCCAAGGGUAGGGGUGAAAUCCGUUAAUCCUUGGGGGACCACCGGUAGCGAAGGCGUCUGACCAGAUCGGGUCCGACGGUGAGGGACGAAGGCUGGGGUCGCGAACCGGAUUAGAUACCCGGGUAGUCCUAGCUGUAAACGAUGCGGGCCAGGUGUUGGCAUUACUGCGAGUGAUGCCAGUGCCGAAGGGAAGCCGUUAAGCCCGCCAUCUGGGGAGUACGGCCGCAAGGCUGAAGCUUAAAGGAAUUGGCGGGGGAGCAC
Molecule: ribosomal RNA, 888 nt
Filed under: uncultured archaeon
Lineage: Archaea
Description: bacterial SSU rRNA
Rfam family: Archaeal small subunit ribosomal RNA
Source: RNAcentral